UACGGGGGGAGCAAGCGUUGUUCGGAUUUACUGGGCGUAAAGGGCGCGUAGGCGGCCACCGCAAGUCGACUGUGAAAUCUCCGGGCUUAACCCGGAAAGGUCAGCCGAUACUGCGGGGCUAGAGUGCAGAAGGGGCAACUGGAAUUCUCGGUGUAGCGGUGAAAUGCGUAGAUAUCGAGAGGAACACCUGCGGCGAAAGGCGGGUUGCUGGGCUGAUACUGACGCUGAGGCGCGAAAGCCAGGGGAGCGAAACGGG
Molecule: ribosomal RNA, 256 nt
Filed under: uncultured bacterium
Lineage: Bacteria
Description: partial 16S ribosomal RNA
Rfam family: Bacterial small subunit ribosomal RNA
Source: RNAcentral